AACAAACAAAUCUUUCACUUACAUAUAAUGAUGGACUCUUCGUCUUAUUCGAAAAAACUUUAUGAUUAACAUUUUUAUUUUUAUUGGAUGAUAAAUCAUAAAUAAUAUUUUACGUGUGACUAUUUUUUUAAUUUCUUAAAAAAAUUUCAAAUAAGACGGAUAGUCAGACACGGAAAUCGAAAGAUUGGUUUGUU
This 194-nucleotide microRNA precursor is filed under the name Oryza brachyantha (malo sina). RNAcentral's name for it is "MIR812 microRNA precursor family". The stretch from base 29 to 194 matches the Rfam family "MIR812 microRNA precursor family", at positions 25 to 205 of the family's 205-position model. Lineage: Eukaryota; Viridiplantae; Streptophyta; Magnoliopsida; Poales; Poaceae. The record is from Rfam by way of RNAcentral.